GGGGGCGUAGCUCAGCUGGGAGAGCACCUGCUUUGCAAGCAGGGGGUCCACGGUUCGAUCCCGUGCGUCUCCACCA
This 76-nucleotide transfer RNA is filed under the name Pigmentiphaga litoralis. RNAcentral describes it as "tRNA-Ala". It matches the Rfam family "tRNA". Rfam says of the family: Transfer RNA (tRNA) molecules are approximately 80 nucleotides in length. Lineage: Bacteria; Pseudomonadati; Pseudomonadota; Betaproteobacteria; Burkholderiales; Alcaligenaceae. The record is from RNAcentral. RNAcentral also lists the same sequence under 1 other name.